UACUGUUCAUGAUGACUUUUAUAAAACAAUGGGAAUCUCUCUGAAAAGACUGAAAGACAUCAGCGUACUGAAACAGAA
This is a small nucleolar RNA of Megalobrama amblycephala (Wuchang bream), 78 nucleotides long. RefSeq annotates it as small nucleolar RNA SNORD79. The record is from RefSeq and is a predicted model, not a curated record. The transcript has a single exon. NCBI's taxonomy places the organism in Eukaryota, Metazoa, Chordata, Actinopteri, Cypriniformes, Xenocyprididae.